RNAcentral lists this long non-coding RNA (5841 nucleotides) under Homo sapiens (human). RNAcentral's name for it is "HSALNT0166488". Lineage: Eukaryota; Metazoa; Chordata; Mammalia; Primates; Hominidae. The record is from RNAcentral.
CAGUCAUCUUGCAUAGGAUGUCGGCAAUCUCAGAAACCUCUGGGAGUCUGCUUUUCAUGUAGCAAACAACCUAGUAAGAAAAACUAGCUUUGGAGCCAGCCCCGGCUGGAAAAAAUGAAGCUAAAUGAAACUCUCUCCACAAUAUUGGGCUAAAACCUUUUGAUGUUUCUUGCUGAGCCUACCUGGCUAAUGCCAUCAGUGAAAGACAAAUCAGAACAGAUGAAGAAUGUGACUUUCAGGGGAUGAAUGGAAGCGCCUCCUCUGGCUCAUGCUGGUGGGAGAAAAUGAACCAGCCCUGCUUUCUCUCCCUGGUUCAAUUCCCAGCAAAGGAAAAACAAUGUAAUUCAUGAUGAUGAUGACAAUGACAAUGACGACAACAACAAUAACCAACCUUUAACACAUCCUUAUAAUGUGCCAGACCCUGCGGAUCACUGUGAAAAGAACAUGAGAUGCCCUUUGCAGGGACAUGGAUGGAGCUGGAAGCCAUUAUCUUCAGCAAACUAACACAGGAACAGAAAACCAAAUACUGCAUGUUCUCACUUAUAAGUGGGAGCUGAACCAUGAGAACAUGGACACAGGGAGGGGAACAACGCACACUGGGGCCUGUGGAGGGCAGGCGGGGGGAGGGAGAGCAUCAGGAUAAAUAGCUAAUGCAUGCUGGGCUUAAUACCUAGGUGAUGGAUUGAUAGGUGCAGCAAACCACCAUGGCACACAUUUACCUAUGGAGCAAACCUGCACCUCCUGCACAUUUACCCCAGAACUUAAAAUAAAAUAAAAUUUAAAAAGGACACGAGAUAAUGUAAGAAAGUAGUUAGCCCAUAGAAAGCUGUUACUAUUCCAGUAUGUAUCCUACUACCCACGGUGCCGCUUAUAUAAGAGCGCCCUCCUGAGGCUGUCAGAAUAACUGGGGCGAGGCAGGGAAUGAGAGGGGACACCAGGCCUGAGGAGUGAGGAGAACAGACUAGAAUGGCUUCCUGACCGAAACUACACCCGCUCAACCCCAGGCCUGUGUAAUAGGCACUUCCACUUUAGUGUGAGGGUAAAUCCCAGAACACUGAAGAAACACAGCCCAGAGCUGGCAUCCUUUUGGCCAUUUCCUGAAGUGGAGCUGGAUUUCAGAGGGCUGUCUCAAAUGACAGUGUCAGCACUAGGAGCUGAUGGUUAAAGCUCUGCAAGAAAACAGCAUCCAGCAUUUUCUUUUGCUACUCUCAUGGGCCAACAUGAAAGUGCGUAAUGAUGGACACAGGCUUUGCUUAAGUGGUGAGUCUAUCAUCCAACCUUUGACUAUAAUUAUGUUGCUCAGAUUAGAGCUAAGUAAACACUGGAUUUGUUUUUUUUUUUUUUUUACUACGAGCAAAUGAAUUUUAUUUCUUACUCAGCAUAGUUGUCCCAGUUUGUUUAUUCAACAAACGUUUAAGCGUGUUCUCCAUGCGUGGUGCUUGUGGCACUGGGCAUUCAGUAGAAAGCUAGAGGCCAGGCGUGGUGGCUCACGCCUAUAAUCCCAGCACUUUGGGAGGCCGAGGCAGGUGGAUCGAUCACCUGAAGUCGGAGUUCAAGACCAGCCUGGCCGAUAUCGUAAAACCCCGUCUCUACUAAAAAUACAAAAAUUAGCUGGGCAUGGUGGCACAUGCUUGCAAUCCCAGCUACUUGAGAGGCUGAGGCAGGAGAAUCGCUUGAACCUGGGAGGCCCAGGUUGCAGUGAGCUGAGAUCGCGCCAUUGCACUCCAGCCUGGGAAACAAGAGCAAGACUGUCUCAAAACAAAACAAACAAAACAAAACAAAACAAAACAAUAAAAAAGAAAGCUAAACCCACAGAGUUCCUGCCUUCUAGUGGAGGAGAUGAGCAAUUAAACAAGAGAAAACAAGUGCGGUGAGGGUGAUGUGCAGGCUGGCGGAGCAGCAACAACAGCACAGAAUCCUGACUACGGUUUGAACUAAACCUAAAGGGCCCCGACUCUGCCUUGAUCUCUCCAGAAAGCCUCCCAGGGCCCUGACUUCCCUGUGCAUGUCAGGUGACCACGGUGGUGGGCAGCUUCCCACCUCAGCCUCUUCCCUCAGUGAGAUCUGGGAAACCUCCUCCCUCCUUUGCCUCUGAAUUCUCACAAAGAGGACCAAGGGUUUUGAGGCAUAGUUUUUAGGAAGAAAACAGGGAACAAGGAGAAUAAUAAUAAAGAAGAAAAAAAGUACAAGAAGUAAAAGGUAUCUUGCCUUACUGGGCCUUGGUUAGGUGCUGAACAUUGUGCUAAGAAUCUUUCGAUGUAUAUUACAAUGUGUUGUUCAUUUCUCUGAGGUUGAUAUUGUUGAUAUGUCCAUUUUUCCCGAUAAGGAAACUGAGGGUAAAGAGGAGAAAGAAAUAGGUCAUAAACUUCACCAAAGGCAGAGCUAUUAUUUGAACCCAAGAAAAUGUGAAAGUUAAUUGAUCAUUUCUUAAGGGCAAUUUUAUUUUGUUUUUUGCAGGGGCAGUAGAGGGAGACGUUGUUGUUCCCAGAAAGGGGCCUUUAGGGAGAAUAAAGAAAGGAAUCCUUGAUAGGGGUGCUAAAUCCUCCAGUACCUGGUAGUGCUGGCCACAGGAGGAGCUCAAUAACUAUUGAAUAAGGCAGUGAGGGAGGGCAUGAGGAAGGGAGUGAGGGGAUGAGUGUGGCCCCUCCCAGCCUACCAGGACCUGUAUGGCUUUUCUCUCAUGAAUCCCAGUCACGAGCCAGCUGCCUGCAUCCUCUUUUCUUCCAUCUUGCAGCUGCCAGGCGUUUAGGGUAGCUUGGUGGUUGGUUUCCACCACUCUCCUCAGUCCUUGAAAUCCUCAUUCUUACAACACUCGCUGUACCUGGGACUUGGUCUCCAUGGCUUUUCCAGAUGUUACUGCCCUGGAAGUCAAUCCCACAGGACCAUUUUAUUUUAAGGGUCAGAGGGCUAUAGUAGUUCAAGACCCCGGUGGAUGCCUGAAACCAUGGAUAAUACUGAACCCUAUUUAAUUGUGCUUAUAUGGGUAUUGAUGAUAUAAUAUUGCAAAAUUACUGCAGACAUUAUAAUUACAUAAAAAAAAUAGUAAGUUGAAGAAUAAUUCCAUGACAGUAAAUCAGUCUAAAAUAAAUUAAAAUAGAAAACUCCAAAUUAAUGGCAGCAAGUAUAUUUAAAAAAUAAGAAUAUGAGUAAAAAGACAAGACCUGACAAAGGAGAGUUUCAACACUACAGUUUAUGUAUAUAUUAUACUAAGUUUUGAUUUUUUGUUCGUUUGUUUUUGAGACAGGGUCUUGCUAUGUUGCCCAGGCUGGAGUGCAGUAGCUAUUCACAGGCAUGAUGGUAGCUGAUUGCAGCCUCAAACUCCUAGGCUCAAGGGAUCCUCCAGCCUCAGCCUCCUGAGUAGCUGGGACCAGGGCAGCAUACUCUUUUUGAUCUGAUAACUGAGACGGCUACUAAGUGACUAACGGAUUGGUAGCGUAUACAUUGUGGAUACACUGGAUAAAAGGAUUAUUCACAUCCGAGGGUGGAGUGGGAGGGUGCAAGAUUUCAUCAUGCUACUCAGAAUGGUGCUUAAUUUAAAACUUACAAAUUAUUUAUUUUUUAGAACUUUCCAUUUAAUAUUUUUGGACCUCAGUUCACCGAGGGUAACUGAAACUUCAAAAAGUGAAACUGCAGAUAACAGGGAACUACUGUAUGACAAACAGUAAAUAUGAGGAAGUUGUAGAGGUUAUGAAACCUUCCCAACCACUCCACGAAUGACCUACUUUUAGCUCUGGCUAUCAUAUAGUCUCCCCAGAGUCAGACGACAGUCUUGCCACUUGCCACCUGGGUAGUGGUGAUCUUUAGCAGGUUACUUAAUCUCCCUAACCAUGUCUGUAAAAUGGUCCCCAUCUCCUCAGGUUGGAGUGAGCAUUAAAGAUGGUUCUGUAUUUGAAAUCUCUUAGUACAAAGAAAAUGCUAAAUAAAUGUUGUCAAGGACUGAAUUUUAUCCCCCCAAAAUUCAUGUUGAAGCCUUAACCUCCAAUGUGACUAUAUUUGGCGAUAGCGCCUUUAGAAAGUAAUUAAGGUCAAAUGAGGUAAAAAAGGGUGGAGCCCUAAUGCAGUAGGAUUUCUGUCCUUAGGAAAAAGGGGGCCCGGCGAGGUGGCUCACACCUGUAAUCCCAGCACUUUGGGAUGCCAAGGCAAGCAGAUGGCUUGAGCUCAUGAGUUUGAGGCCAGUUGGGCAACAUAGUGAAACCCCAUCUCUAUAAAAAAAUACAAAAAUUAGCCUGGCAUGGUGGUGUGCACCUGUAGUCCAGCUACUUGGGAGGCUGAGGUGGGUGGAUGGCUUGAGCCUGGGGGUGGCGGAGAUUGCAGUGAGCCAAGAUGUGCCUCUGCACUGCAGCCUGGGCAACAGAGCCAGACCUUGUCUAAAAAAAAAAAAAAAAAAAAAAGAAGAAGAAAGAAAAGAAAAGAAAAAUGGAAGAGACACCAGAGGUGCACAUGCACAGAGGGGAAAGGCCAUGUGGGGACACAGACAGAGAGUGACUGUCUGCAAGAGACCUCAGGAAAAACCAACCCUGCCAACACGUUGAUCCUGGACUUCCAGUCUCCAGAACAGUGAGAAAAUAUAUUUCUGUUGUUUAUGCCACCCAGUCUGUGAUAUUUCGUUAUGGCGACCUGAGCAGACUAAUACACAUGUUCAGUCUACUUCCUUUGCUUUCCUUGUUGUUUGAACACAUUUGCCAGGCAGUGUCAGAGCCCCUGUAUUGGGAAGUGGUCAGUGUGUGGGUUGGUAAGAAGAAUUUACCAAAAACAGUAUAGAUUUGAAAAAGGAAAGUUUUAGAAAGAAAGAAUGCUGCAAAAGGGUGCAGCGGGGCACCUCAGUGAGAGAGGACUGAGCACACAGUGGUGGAUUUUCCUUAGGAGCAUUUAUGGACCUUAAGGCGGGAGCUUAAGGGUAAUUUUGACCAUAUUAGCCAGGUAGGUCAUGAUACAUGAUUACAUCUGUAGACAUUUUGGUGCCUUACUGUCAGCAAGGGUUGCACAAUGAGUUUUGACAUGCAUGCAUUCUGGAGGUGUAUAGAAAUUCUAGUUAUGACAUUUUUGAAAGAGAUCUAGAUGCUGACUUUAGAUACUAGGGAAGUUUAAUUACUUCUAAAUUCCUCAGAUAAGGAGUUUUUGUCUCUGGAGACUGCUCGAUGGUCACCAGGUGAUUUUCCUCUCCUCAUUUGCUCCCUGACAAAUAUCUUGGUCAUAUCUUUGACCCUUUAUAUUUAUAUUCCCCCAUGUUCAUGUCUACCUGCUGCCUCCUGGGGUCUCAAGAAAGGGAAAAUGGUCCAGUGAAGAGGGGUGAUGAGUCUGUCUGGCUACUUCCUCCUGAAAGGGGGCUUUGAGGGGAUAAGUUGCGUUUUUCUCUUUUUUGCUCUGUGUCAUAAAGGAAAUGAAGGGUCAUGAAAAACUCAGUCACGAGGGGUGGGGACUGGAUUCUAUCAAGAGGCCCCGUAUAAAUGGAAGUUGCUGUUGCAGGCCAGUAUUGAGACUGCAUAGUCAUCUGUAGGUGGAAUCGUUGUAUUCUGGAAGAUACAAACUUAAUGAGAGCAUUAAAAAUGCAGGGAGCAAAUAUUAAAAGAAAAAUGACAAGGAAAAAAGGUCCAAGGAAUGGGAGAAGCCCAGUCUUGGUUACUUUGGGAAAGUGUGUAUAACCAUUUGGCUUGUUUGAAAAUUUACUGGGACAUUAGUUUCCACUUCUCCAGACAACAGAUUUUGUUGAUGACAGCACAGACUCCUCCUUGUUCAGGUGGAGGUAAUCAAGAACUCAUCUAUUAUCAAAAACCAUUUCUGCUAGUGAGUAUAAAGACUUUUCUAGUGCUGAUAGACUUGUGCCAGUUUUUUCUAAGAUUA